RNAcentral lists this non-coding RNA (21 nucleotides) under Arabidopsis thaliana (thale cress). The record is from RNAcentral. Lineage: Eukaryota; Viridiplantae; Streptophyta; Magnoliopsida; Brassicales; Brassicaceae.
UUGGUUUCAGGUACAAUCUCA